This 773-nucleotide ribosomal RNA is filed under the name uncultured bacterium. RNAcentral describes it as "bacterial SSU rRNA". It matches the Rfam family "Bacterial small subunit ribosomal RNA", at positions 8 to 798 of the family's 1533-position model. The record is from RNAcentral.
AGAGUUUGAUCAUGGCUCAGGACGAACGCUGGCGGCGUGCUUAACACAUGCAAGUCGAACGGAAAGGCCCUUCGGGGUACUCGAGUGGCGAACGGGUGAGUAACACGUGGGUGAUCUGCCCUGCACUCUGGGAUAAGCCUGGGAAACUGGGUCUAAUACCGGAUUGGACCGCAUGCUUCAUGGUGUGUGGUGCAAAGCUUUUGCGGUGUGGGAUGAGCCCGCGGCCUAUCAGCUUGUUGGUGGGGUAAUGGCCUACCAAGGCGACGACGGGUAGCCGGCCUGAGAGGGUGACCGGCCACACUGGGACUGAGAUACGGCCCAGACUCCUACGGGAGGCAGCAGUGGGGAAUAUUGCACAAUGGGCGCAAGCCUGAUGCAGCGACGCCGCGUGAGGGAUGACGGCCUUCGGGUUGUAAACCUCUUUCAGUAGGGACGAAGCGAAAGUGACGGUACCUACAGAAGAAGGACCGGCCAACUACGUGCCAGCAGCCGCGGUAAUACGUAGGGUCCGAGCGUUGUCCGGAAUUACUGGGCGUAAAGAGCUCGUAGGUGGUUUGUCGCGUUGUUCGUGAAAACUCACAGCUUAACUGUGGGCGUGCGGGCGAUACGGGCAGACUAGAGUACUGCAGGGGAGACUGGAAUUCCUGGUGUAGCGGUGGAAUGCGCAGAUAUCAGGAGGAACACCGGUGGCGAAGGCGGGUCUCUGGGCAGUAACUGACGCUGAGGAGCGAAAGCGUGGGUAGCGAACAGGAUUAGAUACCCUGGUAGUCCAA